Molecule: ribosomal RNA, 497 nt
Filed under: uncultured bacterium
Lineage: Bacteria
Description: partial 16S ribosomal RNA
Rfam family: Bacterial small subunit ribosomal RNA
Source: RNAcentral
GAUGAACGCUGGCGGCGUGCCUAAUACAUGCAAGUCGAGCGAACAGACGAGGAGCUUGCUCCUCUGACGUUAGCGGCGGACGGGUGAGUAACACGUGGAUAACCUACCUAUAAGACUGGGAUAACUUCGGGAAACCGGAGCUAAUACCGGAUAAUAUAUUGAACCGCAUGGUUCAAUAGUGAAAGACGGUUUUGCUGUCACUUAUAGAUGGAUCCGCGCCGCAUUAGCUAGUUGGUAAGGUAACGGCUUACCAAGGCGACGAUGCGUAGCCGACCUGAGAGGGUGAUCGGCCACACUGGAACUGAGACACGGUCCAGACUCCUACGGGAGGCAGCAGUAGGGAAUCUCCCGCAAUGGGCGAAAGCCUGACGGAGCAACGCCGCGUGAGUGAUGAAGGUCUUCGGAUCGUAAAACUCUGUUAUUAGGGAAGAACAAAUGUGUAAGUAACUAUGCACGUCUUGGCGGUACCUAAUCAGAAAGCCACGGCUAACUACGUG